Molecule: ribosomal RNA, 465 nt
Filed under: uncultured bacterium
Lineage: Bacteria
Description: partial 16S ribosomal RNA
Rfam family: Bacterial small subunit ribosomal RNA
Source: RNAcentral
GACGAACGCUGGCGGCGUGCUUAACACAUGCAAGUCGAACGGAAAGGCCCUGCUUGCAGGGUACUCGAGUGGCGAACGGGUGAGUAACACGUGGGUGAUCUGCCCUGCACUUCGGGAUAAGCCUGGGAAACUGGGUCUAAUACCGGAUAGGAGCCAUUUUUAGUGUGAUGGUUGGAAAGUUUUUUCGGUGUAGGAUGAGCUCGCGGCCUAUCAGCUUGUUGGUGGGGUAAUGGCCUACCAAGGCGGCGACGGGUGGCCGGCCUGAGAGGGUGGACGGCCACAUUGGGACUGAGAUACGGCCCAGACUCCUACGGGAGGCAGCAGUGGGGAAUAUUGCACAAUGGGCGCAAGCCUGAUGCAGCGACGCCGCGUGGGGGAUGACGGCCUUCGGGUUGUAAACUCCUUUCGCUAGGGACGAAGCUUUUUGUGACGGUACCUAGAUAAGAAGCACCGGCUAACUACGUG